Molecule: non-coding RNA, 113 nt
Organism: Acanthosepion pharaonis
Lineage: Eukaryota; Metazoa; Mollusca; Cephalopoda; Sepiida; Sepiidae
Source: the annotation of a GenBank genome assembly
ACUGCCAUAUCACGUUGAAACACCGGUUCCGCGUACAAUCACCGAAGUUAAGCAACGCCAAAACUGGUCAGUACCUAGAUGGGUGACUGCUUGGGAAUACCGGGUUCUGUAAG